Molecule: signal recognition particle RNA, 299 nt
Filed under: Aotus nancymaae (Ma's night monkey)
Lineage: Eukaryota; Metazoa; Chordata; Mammalia; Primates; Aotidae
Description: Metazoan signal recognition particle RNA (ENSANAG00000011510.1)
Rfam family: Metazoan signal recognition particle RNA
About the family: The signal recognition particle (SRP) is a universally conserved ribonucleoprotein.
Source: RNAcentral
GCCAGGCGUGGUGGCAUGUGCCUAUAGUCCCAGCUACUCGGAAGGCUGAGGUGGGAGGACUGCUUGAACCCAGGAGUUCUGGGCUGUAGUGCACUAUGUCGACUGGGUGUCCACACUAAGUUCGGCAUCAAUAUGGUGACCUCCCAGAAGCGGGAGACCACCAGGUUGCCUAAGGAGGGGUGAACUGGCCCAGGUUGGAAAUGGAGCAGGUCAAAACUCCCAUGCUCAUCAGUAGUGGGAUCAUGCCUGUGAAUAGCCACUGCACUCCAGCCUGGGCAACAUAGCAAGACUCCAUCUCU